Molecule: ribosomal RNA, 253 nt
Filed under: uncultured bacterium
Lineage: Bacteria
Description: partial 16S ribosomal RNA
Rfam family: Bacterial small subunit ribosomal RNA
Source: RNAcentral
UACGAAGGGGGCUAGCGUUGCUCGGAAUCACUGGGCGUAAAGCGCACGUAGGCGGAUUCCUAAGUCGGGGGUGAAAUCCUGGAGCUCAACUCCAGAACUGCCUUCGAUACUGGGAAUCUUGAGUCCGGGAGAGGUGAGUGGAACUGCGAGUGUAGAGGUGAAAUUCGUAGAUAUUCGCAAGAACACCAGUGGCGAAGGCGGCUCACUGGCCCGAUACUGACGCUGAGGCACGAAAGCGUGGGGAGCAAACAGG